AUUGAACGCUGGCGGCAUGCCUUACACAUGCCAGUCGAACGGCAGCACGGGUGCUUGCCCCUGGUGGCGAGUGGCGAACGGGUGAGUAAUACAUCGGAACAUGUCCUGUAGUGGGGGAUAGCCCGGCGAAAGCCGGAUUAAUACCGCAUACGAUCUACGGAUGAAAGCGGGGGACCUUCGGGCCUCGCGCUAUAGGGUUGGCCGAUGGCUGAUUAGCUAGUUGGUGGGGUAAAGGCCUACCAAGGCGACGAUCAGUAGCUGGUCUGAGAGGACGACCAGCCACACUGGGACUGAGACACGGCCCAGACUCCUACGGGAGGCAGCAGUGGGGAAUUUUGGACAAUGGGCGAAAGCCUGAUCCAGCAAUGCCGCGUGUGUGAAGAAGGCCUUCGGGUUGUAAAGCACUUUUGUCCGGAAAGAAAUCCUUGGCCCUAAUACGGUCGGGGGAUGACGGUACCGGAAGAAUAAGCACCGGCUAACAACGUG
This 486-nucleotide ribosomal RNA is filed under the name uncultured bacterium. Its description in RNAcentral is "partial 16S ribosomal RNA". It matches the Rfam family "Bacterial small subunit ribosomal RNA", at positions 30 to 507 of the family's 1533-position model. The record is from RNAcentral.